Long non-coding RNA from Bos indicus x Bos taurus (hybrid cattle), 1040 nucleotides. The record is from Ensembl. NCBI's taxonomy places the organism in Eukaryota, Metazoa, Chordata, Mammalia, Artiodactyla, Bovidae.
GUUGUUAUAUUUGGCUUCUUAGGGAAAUACCUGAGCAGAAUGUCCACCUCUCUUGGCGUCUCAUAAUUUUAUUAUCAGUCUUUCUAGUCACCUGCUCUUACAAAUAGGCCCGGGAACUUUGGGCAUCCUUGUGCCUUAAUGGUAUUUUUAAAAUGCCUCCUACCUCCUCUUUAAUUAACUGCAAUCAGGAAGGCUAGUUGGUGGACACAUGGUGUCAUCACUCUGUGAAAUGCUGCCUGAUGGCUAUAAACAUGGCCAUAUGCUCUCUGUGAAAUAUGGCUGCAAUCACCAGCAACAGGAACAGCUGAUGGGAGAAGAAGACUCGGCUUCUCACUUUCUUCUGCUUUAUUCUCCAAACCUGGGAGGCACUUUGCAGGAAAUCCUCAAGGUACAAAGAGGAUAUUUUGAAACCAAUCUGUUUACAUCAGAAGUGUUGAACAAGUUUGUUAUACAAGAAAGGAAACAGUGGAAUGAAAAUCAAACUGACCCCAUCAGACUUCCUGGUCACAGAAAUGAUAAUCUGAUGGCGACCAGGCUGCAUCACUUUCCCUGGGGGUCAGUGUUUAGGAGACUGAGAGCUGGCUGAUUUGAAGGACCCUAGACUAAAGCAAGCAUACAUUGGACUGUCCUCUCUGGGGGGUCAGAUCCACUGCUCUGGACUGGACAUUGCAGAACAGACAAUGACAUUAUUAACACCUCAAAGUCAGGACUCUGUGCUGUGUCUUCACUUGAAGGCUUUCUUUUUCUGUAGGAAUGAGAUUUUUGUUACAUUCCUGAUCCCACGCCAUAGCUCUUUUAUUGAGGAAAAAUAUGAUUUAAAUACAAUGAGACAAAUUGAUAAGUCAGAGUCUGUCCCCAAAAACGCAUCAUCUGGAAAAUUAUCCUGAACUAUUAUCAAAAGCUAUUUCUACAAUCUUAACAUAGGUAGAGAACUUACCAAGUUAAACAUCAGAGGUGAAGAAUGGGUUCUAUCAACUGGAUUUAAUCAACAAGCUUUUUUCUUUUUAAGCUGAGAAGAGAGCUGAUAUCAACAAUAACCU